This 1025-nucleotide ribosomal RNA is filed under the name uncultured Pseudoalteromonas sp. Its description in RNAcentral is "bacterial SSU rRNA". It matches the Rfam family "Bacterial small subunit ribosomal RNA", at positions 286 to 1297 of the family's 1533-position model. Lineage: Bacteria; Pseudomonadati; Pseudomonadota; Gammaproteobacteria; Alteromonadales; Pseudoalteromonadaceae. The record is from RNAcentral.
GCUGGUCUGAGAGGAUGACCAGCCACACUGGAACUGAGACACGGUCCAGACUCCUACGGGAGGCAGCAGUGGGGAAUAUUGCACAAUGGGCGCAAGCCUGAUGCAGCCAUGCCGCGUGUGUGAAGAAGGCCUUCGGGUUGUAAAGCACUUUCAGUCAGGAGGAAAGGUUAGUAGUUAAUACCUGCUAGCUGUGACGUUACUGACAGAAGAAGCACCGGCUAACUCCGUGCCAGCAGCCGCGGUAAUACGGAGGGUGCGAGCGUUAAUCGGAAUUACUGGGCGUAAAGCGUACGCAGGCGGUUUGUUAAGCGAGAUGUGAAAGCCCCGGGCUUAACCUGGGAACUGCAUUUCGAACUGGCAGACUAGAGUGUGAUAGAGGGUGGUAGAAUUUCAGGUGUAGCGGUGAAAUGCGUAGAGAUCNUNGNAANNGGGAUACCGAUGGCGAAGGCAGCCACCUGGGUCAACACUGACGCUCAUGUACGAAAGCGUGGGGAGCAAACAGAGAUUAGAUACCCUGGUAGUCCACGCCGUAAACGAUGUCUACUAAAAGCUGGGGUCCUCGGACAACUUUUUCAAAGCUAACGCAUUAAGUAGACCGCCUGGGGAGUACGGCCGCAAGGUUNAUUACUCAAAUGAAUUGACGGGGGCCCGCACAAGCGGUGGAGCAUGUGGUUUAAUUCGAUGCAACGCGAAGAACCUUACCUACACUUGACAUACAGAGAACUUUCCAGAGAUGGAUUGGUGCCUUCGGGAACUCUGAUACAGGUGCUGCAUGGCUGUCGUCAGCUCGUGUUGUGAGAUGUUGGGUUAAGUCCCGCAACGAGCGCAACCCCUAUCCUUAGUUGCCAGCGAUUUUUUUCUGGAACUCUAAGGAGACUGCCGGUGAUAAACCGGAGGAAGGUGGGGACGACGUCAAGUCAUCAUGGCCCUUACGUGUAGGGCUACACACGUGCUACAAUGGCGCAUACAGAGUGCUGCGAACUUGCGAGAGUAAGCGAAUCACUUAAAGUGCGUCAUAGUCCGGA